Molecule: ribosomal RNA, 253 nt
Filed under: uncultured bacterium
Lineage: Bacteria
Description: partial 16S ribosomal RNA
Rfam family: Bacterial small subunit ribosomal RNA
Source: RNAcentral
UACGGGGGGGGCAAGCGUUGUUCGGAAUUACUGGGCGUAAAGGGCUCGUAGGCGGCCAACUAAGUCAGACGUGAAAUCCCUCGGCUUAACCGGGGAACGGCGUCUGAUACUGGAUGGCUUGAAUCCGGGAGAGGGAUGCGGAAUUCCAGGUGUAGCGGUGAAAUGCGUAGAUAUCUGGAGGAACACCGGUGGCGAAGGCGGCUAUCUGGACCGACAUUGACGCUGAGGCGCGAAAGCGUGGGGAGCAAACAGG